Molecule: unclassified non-coding RNA, 495 nt
Filed under: Zea mays
Lineage: Eukaryota; Viridiplantae; Streptophyta; Magnoliopsida; Poales; Poaceae
Description: misc RNA Zm00001eb183300
Source: RNAcentral
CUGCGCGCACGGGGCCGGGGACACGUGCAGGCGGGGGCUGCCACGCUGGUCAGGGGCCUCGCUGGGGGCGGGCGAACCGGGCAAGGGAGGGGAGCCGUCGGGGCCAGGGAUGGGCUGCGUGGGGGGCGGGUCCGCACCGGGAGGGUAGGGGGCCGCCAGGGCAGGGGCUGCGUAGGGGUGGGGCCGCACCGGGAGGGUAGGCGGUCGUCGGGGCAGGGGCCGUGCAGGGCGCCUAGCCGCUCCUCUUUCUCCUCCAGCGUCGCGCCCCUGGCCCCUCUGCCUGAGCUCGCCCAUGGCGCGCAGCCGCGUCUUCAAGCUCGGUCUCCAUCUCCAUGGCGCCAUCUGCCCUCGUCCUGCUCCCUAGUUCCGACUGAGCUCACGCCCUGCUCCCUGGCAUCGCAGGCUCGUUGGCGUUCCUCCCGUUCCCUGCUCGCGUCGCGGCUUUUCCCCUCGGAGCUCCCUGUGCUCGCCAUGGCCGCUGCGCUUCCUCCCUAG